This 252-nucleotide ribosomal RNA is filed under the name uncultured bacterium. RNAcentral's name for it is "partial 16S ribosomal RNA". It matches the Rfam family "Bacterial small subunit ribosomal RNA", at positions 524 to 776 of the family's 1533-position model. The record is from RNAcentral.
UACGUAGGUCCCGAGCGUUGUCCGGAUUUAUUCGGCGUAAAGCGAGCGCAGGUGGUUUAUUAAGUCUGGUGUAAAAGGCAGUGGCUCAACCAUUGUAUGCAUUGGAAACUGGUAGACUUGAGUGCAGGAGAGGAGAGUGGAAUUCCAUGUGUAGCGGUGAAAUGCGUAGAUAUAUGGAGGAACACCGGUGGCGAAAGCGGCUCUCUGGCCUGUAACUGACACUGAGGCUCGAAAGCGUGGGGAGCAAACAGG